This 783-nucleotide ribosomal RNA is filed under the name uncultured Actinomycetes bacterium. RNAcentral describes it as "bacterial SSU rRNA". It matches the Rfam family "Bacterial small subunit ribosomal RNA", at positions 92 to 891 of the family's 1533-position model. The record is from RNAcentral. Lineage: Bacteria; Bacillati; Actinomycetota; Actinomycetes.
CGAGUGGCGAACGGGUGAGUAACACGUGGGUGAUCUGCCUUGCACUUCGGGAUAAGCUUGGGAAACUGGGUCUAAUACCGGAUAGGACAGCUGUUUAGUGUCAGUUGUGGAAAGUUUUUUCGGUGCAAGAUGAGCUCGCGGCCUAUCAGCUUGUUGGUGGGGUAAUGGCCUACCAAGGCGUCGACGGGUAGCCGGCCUGAGAGGGUGUACGGCCACAUUGGGACUGAGAUACGGCCCAGACUCCUACGGGAGGCAGCAGUGGGGAAUAUUGCACAAUGGGCGGAAGCCUGAUGCAGCGACGCCGCGUGGGGGAUGAAGGCCUUCGGGUUGUAAACUCCUUUCGACAGGGACGAAGCGUAAGUGACGGUACCUGUAUAAGAAGCACCGGCUAACUACGUGCCAGCAGCCGCGGUAAUACGUAGGGUGCGAGCGUUGCCCGGAAUUACUGGGCGUAAAGAGCUCGUAGGUGGUUUGUCGCGUCGUCUGUGAAAUUCCGGGGCUUAACUCCGGGCGUGCAGGCGAUACGGGCUGACUUGAGUGCUGUAGGGGAGACUGGAAUUCCUGGUGUAGCGGUGAAAUGCGCAGAUAUCAGGAGGAACACCGAUGGCGAAGGCAGGUCUCUGGGCAGUAACUGACGCUGAGGAGCGAAAGCAUGGGUAGCGAACAGGAUUAGAUACCCUGGUAGUCCAUGCCGUAAACGGUGGGCGCUAGGUGUAGGGGGCUUCCACGUCUUCUGUGCCGUAGCUAACGCAUUAAGCGCCCCGCCUGGGGAGUACGCCGCAA